RNAcentral lists this ribosomal RNA (427 nucleotides) under uncultured Actinomycetes bacterium. RNAcentral describes it as "bacterial SSU rRNA". It matches the Rfam family "Bacterial small subunit ribosomal RNA", at positions 917 to 1348 of the family's 1533-position model. Lineage: Bacteria; Bacillati; Actinomycetota; Actinomycetes. The record is from RNAcentral.
GGGCCCGCACAAGCGGCGGAGCAUGCGGAUUAAUUCGAUGCAACGCGAAGAACCUUACCUGGGUUUGACAUACACCGGAAAGCCUCAGAGAUGGGGCCCCUUUUGUCGGUAUACAGGUGGUGCAUGGCUGUCGUCAGCUCGUGUCGUGAGAUGUUGGGUUAAGUCCCGCAACGAGCGCAACCCUCGUCCUAUGUUGCCAGCGGAUAAUGCCGGGGACUCAUAGGAGACUGCCGGGGUCAACUCGGAGGAAGGUGGGGAUGACGUCAAAUCAUCAUGCCCCUUAUGUCUUGGGCUGCACACAUGCUACAAUGGCCGGUACAAAGGGCUGCAAUACCGCAAGGUGGAGCUAAUCCCAAAAAGCCGGUCUCAGUUCGGAUUGGGGUCUGCAACUCGACCCCAUGAAGUCGGAGUCGCUAGUAAUCGCAGA